RNA transcript from Zea mays, 485 nucleotides. RefSeq lists it as uncharacterized. The transcript has 2 exons. The record is from RefSeq and is marked validated. NCBI's taxonomy places the organism in Eukaryota, Viridiplantae, Streptophyta, Magnoliopsida, Poales, Poaceae.
UCAGGAAUGGAAAAUGUGCAUAUAUGCUUCUGGUUGCAGUGAGAUUGGCCUCGUCCAAGUUAUGGGAUCUGCCAUGAACUAGACAAGAUUAUAAGUUUACAGAGGCCUUACAUCAAGAGAGUACAAGAUUGCCAUAAGGAAGUAAAGUCUUUGAGGAAAGUGACCUUAUGAGAAGCUUGAGAAAAUCAACUUGUGUGUGAGAAGUUUUGUCUACUUGUGCUAAUUAGUCAUAUGAUAUUUUUAGUCAUGAACUAGACAAGAUCAGAAGUUUAAAGAGGUUUUACAUCGAGUACAAGAUCGCCAUAAGGAAGUACAAGUCUUUGAGGAAAGUGACCUUAUGAAAAGUUUGAGCAAAUCAACUUGUGUGCGAGAAGUUUUGUCUACUUGUGCUGAUCAGUCAUACCUUGGAAUAUUGCUGAACUGUUGCCUUUGUUGCUCAUUGGCUUCAAUACUUCAUACACCAUCAAAUGAGUCAUGUGCAAAAU